ACACCCACCUCACUCCCAUCAUGGUUGAGGAUCUCAAGAUGGCCGGAAUGACACUCUUAUAGGCCUUAUAGGUGGCGUUUUACAUAUAAACAUUACUCAAUGGACUACGAAGGAGACUUCACAAUGAAUAGCGAAUCUCAAGACAGUGUAUAUUUAAAUUGGACCUCAUUGGAAAUGGGCUGGACUCCGACCUAAUGGGCGUUCCUGAUGCGCAUUACGUGAUGUAGACAAAGAAGCCCCAACUAUCAGGAAAGAAUGUCCGGACUGAAAGGGCAACAGAACUUACCAAUUAUUCAUAUAUAGCCAAACAUUGUGUCACUGAUCAAGCUUCUUGCAAAAAUUCUGGAUAUGAAAUUAAUUCAAAUACAAUGUAAAUUUUAUUUUUAAAUGUUUUCCUCUGCAAUAAUCUCAAAAAUAAUGUUAGCAAUUUAGUAAUUCUUGUAGGCUUUAUGUUUAUUAAUAUUGUAUUAUUUAAGGAUUAAAAUCAGAUUUAUUGAUUUUUGCCGGAUGUGCAUGAUAUAGGCUUACAGUAUAUAAAUAUAAUAUAUAUAUAUGUAUAUAUAUAUAUAUCACAACUUGAUUUCAAUAGGCCUACUUGAAAAUAAAUAUCAAAUGGAAUUGUG
Molecule: long non-coding RNA, 623 nt
Organism: Anneissia japonica
Lineage: Eukaryota; Metazoa; Echinodermata; Crinoidea; Comatulida; Comatulidae
Exons: 4
Source: RefSeq, a predicted model, not a curated record